Cyprinus carpio carpio is the source of this 1016-nucleotide long non-coding RNA. The record is from Ensembl. Lineage: Eukaryota; Metazoa; Chordata; Actinopteri; Cypriniformes; Cyprinidae.
GUAAGCAAUCAAUGCAGGUUUAAAAUACAGACCAUUGUCAUCAAUAUCUGUCUUAAUGUAAGCAUUUAUUGUGCUUACAUUUACAGCUAUCGCCAGCAGGUGGCGCUUAUUGAAACUCUAUGCUUGCAUAAUCUCUGAACAAAAAGAGGUUUCAAUGAUGAUCAGACAAACAGUAAUUAGGUGCACUGGUGAUGUUAUCCAUUUAAAUGAGUUUAAAGACUAAAAGUAUUUAAAUAUGGUAUUUAAAACUUUAUAAAAGAAUUUCAGGAUUAGAAUGAAAGCUUGUACUCGGGUCAGGACAGGUAUAAGAACUUGAUUUGGCUUUCCUGACAGCAGAAGUAUUCUACUGUACUAAGUAUGUACAAAGACUGGUUACAAGGAUGAUUGACAGGAGGAGAGCCCCGCCCACCACAGACAGCAGUGUAGUGGAGUCCAUAACUGAGGAGACAAUGCGAGAACAUUGAUUUAUGGCAGUAUUUGGCCAAAGCAGAGAGCCUCCUCAUUCUUCUGAAUCUGUGGUUUUAGGUUAGUGUGACUGUGACUAAACCAGGGAAAUGUUUCCAUAUGCUAAUUUUGUAUAAAUGAAGCCGCAUAUGAAAGGUCAGGUAACUCAUUUCAUUUGGUUUUUAUGAAGCUGACUUGUUUUAAUGAAAAAGCAGCAAGUGGGUUUACUAUUUCUUGAUGUUAGCAAUAAGAACUGGUCUCUUUAAAAUCUUUAAGAAACAUGAAAACACAGAUCUUCCAUCCAUGAGCUCAUGAUCAUUUAUUCCUUAUCAUUUAAUACACUGUUCUUAAAACCUGCUGCUCUGAUCUCCACCAUGGACCUUUAGAUCUCUUAACUAUCUUGCAUCUUUGUGGGUUGCUUUCUUGCAGAACUUGGUGUUGAUGACUAAUAUGUCUAACAGUCAUUUGUACAUGUCAAAAAUCCUAUUCUUAACCAGUAUCAUCUUGUUUUCCAGUAAAAAGAUCUUAACAUCUAUAAAACAGGAUACAUUUAACCAAGAAUCCAGAGAAGG